GAUGAACGCUGGCGGCGUGCCUAAUACAUGCAAGUCGAGCGAACAGACGAGGAGCUUGCUCCUCUGACGUUAGCGGCGGACGGGUGAGUAACACGUGGAUAACCUACCUAUAAGACUGGGAUAACUUCGGGAAACCGGAGCUAAUACCGGAUAAUAUAUUGAACCGCAUGGUUCAAUAGUGAAAGACGGUUUUGCUGUCACUUAUAGAUGGAUCCGCGCCGCAUUAGCUAGUUGGUAAGGUAACGGCUUACCAAGGCAACGAUGCGUAGCCGACCUGCGAGGGUGAUCGGCCACACUGGAACUGAGACACGGUCCAGACUACUACGGGAGGGAGCAGUAGGGAAUCUUCCGCAAUGGGCGAAAGCUUGACGGAGCAACGCCGCGUGAGUGAUGAAGGUCUUCGGAUCGUAAAACUCUGUUAUUAGGGAAGAACAAAUGUGUAAGUAACUAUGCACGUCUUGACGGUACCUAAUCAGAAAGCCACGGCUAACUACGUG
Molecule: ribosomal RNA, 497 nt
Filed under: uncultured bacterium
Lineage: Bacteria
Description: partial 16S ribosomal RNA
Rfam family: Bacterial small subunit ribosomal RNA
Source: RNAcentral